This 490-nucleotide ribosomal RNA is filed under the name uncultured bacterium. Its description in RNAcentral is "partial 16S ribosomal RNA". It matches the Rfam family "Bacterial small subunit ribosomal RNA", at positions 30 to 507 of the family's 1533-position model. The record is from RNAcentral.
AUUGAACGCUGGCGGCAUGCCUUACACAUGCAAGUCGAACGGCAGCAUGAUCUAGCUUGCUAGAUUGAUGGCGAGUGGCGAACGGGUGAGUAAUACAUCGGAACGUGCCCUGUAGUGGGGGAUAACUAGUCGAAAGAUUAGCUCAUACCGCAUACGACCUGAGGGUGAAAGUGGGGGACCGCAAGGCCCCAUGCUAUAGGAGCGGCCGAUGUCUGAUUAGCUAGUUGGUGAGGUAAAGGCUCACCAAGGGGACGAUCAGUAGCUGGUCUGAGAGGGCGUUCAGCCACACUGGGACUGAGACACGGCCCAGACUCCUACGGGAGGCAGCAGUGGGGAAUUUUGGACAAUGGGCGAAAGCCUGAUCCAGCAAUGCCGCGUGUGUGAAGAAGGCCUUCGGGUUGUAAAGCACUUUUGUCCGGAAAGAAAUGGCUCUGGUUAAUACCUGGGGUCGAUGACGGUACCGGAAGAAUAAGGACCGGCUAACUACGUG